This 11952-nucleotide long non-coding RNA is filed under the name Homo sapiens (human). RNAcentral describes it as "non-protein coding lnc-ROPN1B-15:2". The record is from RNAcentral. Lineage: Eukaryota; Metazoa; Chordata; Mammalia; Primates; Hominidae.
AGAAGGUCCGGGAGCCCACGGCGGUUGUUUUUUCUGUGAGGCUUCACUUACCUCGGUCUGGGCUUCUCUGAGGCUGCGAGAGAUGGUCAUGUCCGGAUCUCAACUGGGCCGGGUGAGGGCUGAGGACCUGAGGAGUCCACUGUGGGGAUGGAGAGGGACAGGGGGGUUUUCGGGCCAGAAACUUGUAAAACUCUGCUCGAAAAAAGAGACCGUGCGGCGACAUUUAAGUGCUGGGACAGAGGUGCAGGAAACACCUAAUCUUACCUUCGUAACACAGCCGCUUGGUCUCUAGAUGUGUUUCUGUUUAAAUCGUCGUAGCCCUCUAGAGCGCCGGCUUUCGGGUCAGGCCGGGGUUCAAGUCCCAGCCUUCGCCGCUGGGUCCAGUGACUUAAGCUCUCUUAGCUUCAGGUAUUUGCACAUUGGGAUUCCACUACUUUUUACUUCUCGGAACUUACUAUUCCUAAGCUGCAAAAUAGGCAGAAACAAGCAUAAAAUUCUGUCUCAAAGAAUUGGGAAGGUUAAAUGAGAGAACCCGGUAAAAACAUCCAUCACACAAUUGGCGUAGACAUGCAACAGAAUUUAGUUCCUUUGAAAACACGUAGUUUGCCACCGUCUUAAUGAUAACAGCAGCUAACAUUUAGAUAGGACUUAUGUGGCAGAUACUACUCUUAAGUGCUUUUAUGUAUUACAUAGAAUAACCCAUUUCAUAGUCGCAAUAUCCUUAUGAGGUAGGUACCAUUAUCCGUCUUUUACACAUGAGGAAAUUGAGGGCUGGAGGGUUCAAAUAACUUCCUAACGGUUACACAGCUGUGGAAUCAAGAUUCAGACUCACAAAGCUGAUGCCAGAGUCCAUUCUUCUUUUAGACAUUUUACCUAGUAGAUGUAUGACUUUGAACAAACCACUUUCCUGAAAUUUAGGUUCCUACCUCACAGAAAUAAUAACAGGGUAUGGAUUAAGUGGAAAUGAAAGACCUUAGUACACUCUAAGUCAUUCUACAAGGGCAGUAUUAUCUUGUACUUCUUGGUAGGAGAUAUGACUACCAAGAAAUGCUUAUAUGAUUCUCAAAUAGCAAAAUUAAAAGUUUAAUGAUAAUAACCCCAUAGAAGUAAGUGUAAAAUAAAGCAAACUGAUUCUCCUGUAUUGUGAUCAGGACACUCCUUUUGGAGGGCAGCUUUGCAGUUUGUAUCAAGAGUUAUUAAAUUGCCAAUAACCUUUCACCAAAUAAUUUUCCUUUUAAUCCUAAAUAUGAGAAGGCUAUUUUCAAGAGGUAGAAAGGUUUAUUCCAGGUUUUUUUAAUUAUGAAAAAUAUGAAACAAACCAAGACCAUAUUAUAUUAUUUCCACUGAAAGAAAUAUUAUACAACCAUUAAACAUUUUUGAGUAUUAAUAUGAAAAAGAUUUAAAAGUAGAAAACACAAGAUUCAAAAUUGCAAAUAUCUAGUUAAUAUGACUAAGUAAAAAAUGCAUAUGAAAAAAGAUUGGAAGCCCCAAUAGCAAAGAACACAUCUAUUACCUAGAUCUUGGUUUCCAAGUACCACUGUCCACUCAGGAGUCAUGGUGUCUUGGAGAAAUGACCAACUCCAGGGCUGAGCAGGGGUAAUAUAACAAGAGCAUGGAUACAUCAAACUAAAAAGCUUCUGCACAGCACAGGAAAUGAUUAAUGGAGUGAAAAGGCAAUCUACAGAAUGGGAGAAAUCCAAGCCAUGUAUCUGAUAAAUAAUUAAUAUCCAAAAUACAUAUAAGGAAUUUCUGUAAUUCAAAAGCAGAACAACACAUGAUCUGGUUAAAAAAUGAAAAAAGGAUUUGAAUAGACAUUUUUCCAAAGAAGACGUACAGAGGACCAACAGGUAUAUAAAAAGAUGCUCAACAUCACUAAUCAUCAAGGAAAUGCAAAUUAAAACCACAAUGAGCUAUCACCUAACACCUGUUAGGAUGACUUAUUGCAAAAACAAAAACAAGUAUUGGCAAGGAUUUGGAAGAAUUGGAACCCUUGUACACUGUCAGUGGGAAUGUAAAAUGGUAUAGCCACUAUGGAAAACAAUAUGGAGAUUCCUCACCAAAUUAAAAAUAGAACUAUAUCACCCAGCAAUUCUACUUCUGGGCAUUUAUCCAAAAGAAUUGACAUCAGGAUAUAGAAGAGAUAUUUGCACUCUUGUGUUCAUUGCAGCACUAUUCACAAUAGCCAAGAUGUAGGAACAACGUAAAUGUCUAUCUACAGAUGAAUAGAUAAAAUAUGGUAUAUACAUACAAUGGACUAUUAUUCAACCUUUAAAAAGAAGGAAAUAGCUGUCAUAUGCAAUAAUAGAGAUGAACCUUGAAGAGAUUAUGCUAAGUGAAAUAAGCUAGUCACCGAAGGACAAAUACUGCAUGAUUUUACUUAUAUAAAGUAUCUAAAAUAGUUAAAACUCAUAGAAACAGAAUAGAAUGGUGGUUCCUAGGGGCUGUUAGAAGAGAGAGAUGGCGUUGCUAUUCAGCGAGUAUAAAGUUACAUUUAUGUGAGAUGAAGAAAUUCUUGAGAUCUGCUGAACAAUAUCAUGUCUAUAGUUAAUACUACAUUUUGUUGAGAAGGUAGAUCUCAUUUUAAAUACCCUUGUGGCAAUUAUUAAAAAAAAAAAAAAGAUGAACUGGGAGCACCUUGUUGUAGAAAGUAAGGAACGGCUCAAAAAGUAAUGGGGGCAUGUUAAAAUGAUACAGGAGUCAACUUCAAGGGGCUCCCAGUGACCAAAUUUGAGACAAUUUGAGCAUCAAAAUAAAGUGAUAAUAAGGGAUCAUAACCCACUGAAGAAAAUAGGAAUCAGUGAGUCCCCACUAACAAGGAAGAAAGAAAAAGUGCUUCCCUAAAGUUGAAUGCCAACUAAUAAAUGUAGAAGGAAUUACAUAGGUAGAAAAUCACCAUUUGUCAAACAAUUGAUUCAGCCAAGAAUCAUCAAUGGAUGCUAAAACUAUGGGGUGAAAGUUUGAUGAUUGGGAUAUCUAUAUAGUCUCAAAGUGUCUCUUCACAAAAUGCUUAACAACUACAAAGAUAAAAGUAGAAACUACAAUAAAAAACCUGGCAGACACCAUCUUAGGUAAUAAAGUUUACAUCAUCAAUAAUGGGACAAACUGACAUGUGUCUAUUUAUUGUAUUGAGAAGAACAUACCUCUUUUGUGGAUUCCUGCCAAAAAUGCAUGACCUGUGUCUAAUCAUAGGUAAACAUCAGACAAAUCUAAAUGUCCAGAGGGACACUGUACAAAAUAACUGGCUUAUUCUCUUUAAAUAUGUCAAGGUUAUAACAGACAAUGAAUGACAGCCUGAGGAACUGUUAUAGAUUAAAGGAGACUAAAGAGCUAUGACAAUUUAAUGCAACAUGUGAUCCUGGAUUUGGCGUGAACCAGAGGGAUUUUUUUUUUUUUUUUUUGGUAAAGGACAGUAUUGGGAUAAUUGGCAACAUGCGAAUAAGGUCUAAACAUUAGAUCAUAAUUCUGUAUCAAUGUUAAUUUCCUGGUUUUGAUAAUUAUACUGUGGUUAUAUUAGAGAAUGGCCUUGUUUUUAGGAACUAUUUAGGCGUAAAGGAGUAGUAUAUCUGCAACUUAACUCUAAUGGUUCAGGCAAAAAGUAAUGCUGUGUAUAUAUAUUGAGAGAGAACAUGGAAAAUGGAAAAUGUCAAGGGUCACGGAAUCUGAGUGAAGCAUAUAUAGGACUUCUUUGUUCUAUUAUUUCAUAGUAGAAACUACAAAAAAAAGGGAAAGGAAUUGUUCCAAUAUGAUAGCUACUGUCUCAAGGUGCUUUUAUCAUGGGUAAUUUUCUUUACCAGAUUUUCUAUAAUAUAGCCUUGUGUAUAUUUUUUUGAGAAACGCCAUAUAUAAUCUUAUAGUUAUGCCAGACAUGUACCUUAGACAGUGUACUUUAAAAAAAUUUUUUUUCAGCUGGGUGCGGUGGCUCAUGCCUGUAAUCCCAGCAACUUUGGAAGGUUGAGGCAGGCGGAUCACUUGAGGUCGGGAGUUCAAAACCAGCCUGGCCAACAUGGAGAAAUCCUGACUCUACUAAAAAAUACAAAAUUAGCCAGGCAUGGUGGCGCAUGCCUGUAAUCCCAGCUGCUCGGGAGGCUGAGGUAGGAGAAUUGCUUGAACCCAGGAGGUGGAGGUUGCGGUGAGCUGAGAUUGCGCCAUUGCACUCUAGCCUGGGCAAAAUAAAGAGCGAAACUCUGUCUCAAAAAAAAAAAUUUUUUUUUUUGAAAGAAUAAUUGUGGUAGUUGUUUUUGGACUCGAUCCAGGGUGUAGUAUUAUAGUGUCAUGGCUUGGAUUUUUUAUUAUAAUUCCAGCGAGGACAUUGACAUAGAUAUACCAAAGGGAAAGACCCUGAGAGUGUGACACAGAGACCAGUGGAGUGAUGUUACACAAGGUCUUAUUUCCUACAUUGUUGGUUCUCACUGCUGGCUUCAUGACCCUCCAUCAUAAUCCAAGUUAUCUCAAGAAGUAUAACUCUUAUCAACCCAAUUUUUAAAAAAUGUAUUCUCAGUGACAUUCUUAGAAGGAUGGAGCACAUAUUCAAGCAUAUAAUAGAAUAUAUAACUUCAGAAAGUUUGGUAGUUACUGCUCAAAGCUAUCUUGAGAUGAAAUAUGUAAAUAUGUCAAGAGAAAUUAUAAAUGAAACUGCCAACAGUGACUACAUCUGGAGGGUGGAACUAGGGGGAAUCAGGGACUUUAACUCAUGUUUAUUUAAAAUUAUUUUGAAUAGAGAUUAUAUUUAUCUGAUAUAAAGUUAUUAAGAUAUAAAAUAGUAUACCAUGGAAAGUGUCCCUUCUUGCUCUGUCCCCCAGAUACUCAGUUUCUCUCCCCAGAGGCAACCGUGAUUAACUGUUUCUGGCAUAACUCCCAAGAUAUUGGAUGCAGGUAAAAACAAAUGCCUAUUUUUUCCUGUUUUUCUACACAAAAGGUAAUGCAUCAUGUCACUUUUAAAACAAAAAAAAAAUUAAGAAAACAACAGUGCUAUGUAAGUCUAAAGAGAAAGAUUAAGACAAUGAGAUGUAGAUAAAGAGAAAGGUAGAGUUUUUAUUUGCUGGUCUAAUCAGGCAUUCUAAAGAAUGUACAUAAAAGGAACCAGAGUUAAGAACUCUGUUCUGUAUCUUGAAUUAACUUGUAUAUUUCAAAGAAUUUGGGACUAUAGAACAUGUUUAGGGGAUUAAUAUAGUCUGAACUUAGUGUAGUAGUUACUUCUGGUAUAAAAUAUCUCAAUUUCUUUUUCACCUUAAGUAGACUUAAGGUGACACCUUAAGUAGACACAUAUUAAGCAAAUAUGUAUUGUUUGCUUGACAUUUUACAUAAAAUAAAUUUAAUAUAUGAAUUAAAUUCUAAUUGUGGAUUUUUAGGAUGUGUCAUAUUAAUUAAAACAGUGAAUAAUAUGGUACAUACAUACAAUGGAAUAUUAUUUGGCCUCAGAAAGAAACAUUUUGACACAUGCUACAAUAUAGAUGAAGCUUGAAGACAUUAUGCUAAGUGAAAUAAGCCAGUCACAAAAGGACAAAUAUUGUAUUAUUCCAUUUAUAUAGUUUCUAGAGUAGUCAAAUUCGUAGAAACUAGGAUGGUAGUUGUUAGGGUCAGGGAGAAGAGGGGAUGGAAAGGUACUGUUUGAUUGGUACAGAGUUUCAGUUUGAGAAGAUGAAUAAAAGAAAAAAAUGACAUCGGAUUGCUGGCAAGAUGGCUGAAUAGGAACAGCUCCAGUCUGCAGCUCCCAGCAAGAUCAAUGCAGAAGGUGGAUGAUGUCUGCAUUUCCAACUGAGGUACCUGGUUCAUCUCAAUGGGACUGGUUGGACAGUGGGUGCAGCCCACGGAGGGCGAGCCAAAGCAGGGUGGGGUGUUGCUUCACCCUGGAAGUGCCAGGGGUCGGGGAAUUUUUUCCCCUACCCAAGGGAAGCUGUAAGGGACUGAACCUGGGGAACUGUGCACUCUGGCCCAGAUACUGCACUUUUCCUAAUGGUCUUCGCAACCUGCAGACCAAGAGAUUCCCUCCAGUGCCUACCCCACCAGGGCCCUGGGUUUCAAGCACAAAACUGGGUGGCCGUUUAGGCAGACACCGAAAUAGCUGCACAAGGUUUUUUGUUUGUUUGUUUGUUUUUUCCCAUACCCCAGUGGUGCCUGGAAUGCCAGUGAGACAGUGAGACAAAACCAUUCACUCCCCUGGAAAGGGUGCUGAAGCCAGGGAGCCAAGUGGUCUGGCUCAGUGGUCCCACCCCUGUGGAGCCCAGCAAACUAAAAUCCACUGGCUUGAAAUUCUCGCUGCCUGCACAGCAGCAGUCAGAGAUCAACCUGGGACACUUGAACUUGGUGCAGGGAGGGGCAUCCGCCAUUGCUGAGGCUUGAGUAGGCGGUUUUACCCUCACAGUGUAAACAAAGCCACUGGGAAGUUCAAACUGGGCAGAGCCCACUGCAGCUGAGCAAGGCUGCUGUGGCCAGACUGCCAGAUUUGCCCUCUCUGGGCAGGGCAUCUCUGAAAAAAAGGCAGCAGCCCCAGUCAGGGACUUUUAGACAAAACUCCCAUCUCCCUGGGCCAGAGCACCUGGGGAAAGGAGUGCCUGUAGGCGCAAUUUCAGCAGACUUAAAUGUUUCUGCCAGAUGGCUCUGAAGAGAGCAGUGGAUCUCCCAACACAGCAUUCGAGCUCUGCUAAGGGUCAUACUGCCUCAAGUGGGUGCCUGACCCCCGCAUAUCCUGACUAGGAGACACCUCCCAGUAGGGGCUGACAGACACCUCAUACAGGAAAGCUCUGGCUGGCAUCUGGCAGGUGCCUCCCUGGACGAAGCUGCCAGAGGAAAGAACAGGCAGCAAUCUUUGCUGUUCUGCAGCCUCUGCUGGUGAUACCCAGGCAAAUGGUCUGGAGUGGACCUCCAGCAAACUCCAGCAGACCUGUAGCAAAGGGGCCUGACUGUUAGAAGGAAAACUAACAAACAGGAAGAGCAUGUCCACUCAGAGAUCCCAUCCAAAGGUCACCAACAUCAAAGAUCAAAGGUAGAUAAAUCCACAAAGAUGGGGAGAAAUCAGUGCAAAAAGGCUGAAAAUACCAAAAACCAGAAUGCCUCUUCUCCUCCAAAGGAUCACAACUUCUCACCAGCAAGGGAACAAAACUGGAUGGAGAAUGAGUUUGACAAACUGACAGAAGUAGGCUUCAGAAGGUGGGUAAUAACAAAUUCCUCUGAGCUAAAGGACCAUGUUCUAACCCAAUGCAAGGAAGCUAAGAACCUUGAAAAAAGGUUAGACGAAUUGCUAACUAGAAUAACCAGUUUAGAGAAGAACAUAAGCGACCUGAUGGAGCUGAAAAACACAGCACAAGAACUUCCUGAAGCAUACACAAGUGUCAAUAGCCGAAUCAAUCAAGUGGAAGAAAGGAUAUCAGAGAUUGAAGAUCAACUUAAUGAAAUAAAGUGAGAAGACAAGAUUAGAGAAAAAAGAAUAAAGAGGCACAAACAAAGCCUCCAAGAAAUAUGGGACUAUGUGAAAAGACCAAAUCUAUGUUUGAUUGAUCUACCUGAAAGUGACAGGGAGAAUGGAACCAAGCUGGAAAACACUCUUCAGGAUAUUAUCCAGGAGAACUUCCCCAACCUAGCAAGACAGGCCAACAUUCAAUUUCAGGAAAUAGAGAGAACACCACAAAGAUACUCCUUGAGAAGAGCAACCCAAGACACAUAAUUGUCAGAUUCACCAAGGUUGAAAUGAAGGAAAAAAUAUUAAGGGCAGCCAGAGAGAAAGGUCAGGUUACCCACAAAGGGAAGCCCAUCAGACCAACAGUGGAUCUCUCUGCAGGAACCCUACAAGCCAGAAGAGAGUGGGGGCCAAUGUUCAACAUUCUUAAAGAAUUUUCAACCUAGAAUUUCAUAUCCAGCCAAACUAAGCUUCAUAAAUGUAGAAGAAAUAAAAUUCUUUACAGACAAGCAAAUGCUGAGAGAUUUUGUCACCACCAGGCCUGCCCUACAAGAGCUCCUGAAGGGAGCACUAAACAUGGUAAGGAACAACAGGUACCAGUCACUGUAAAAACAUACCAAAUUGUAAAGACCAUCGACACUAUGAAGAAACUGCAUUAACUAAUAAUGGACAAAAUAACCAGCUAGCAUCAUAAUGACAGGAUCAAAUUCGCACAUAACAAUAUUAACCUUAAAUGUAAAUGGACUAAAUGCCCCAGUUAAAAGACACAGACUGGCAAAUUGGAUAAACAGUCAAGACCCAUCGGUGUGUUGCAUUCAGGAGACCCAUCUCACAUGCAAAGACACACAUAGGCUCAAAAUAAAGGGAGGGAGGAAUCUUUACCAAGAAAAUGGAAAGAAAAAAAAAAGGGGGUUGCAAUCAUAGUCUCUGAUAAAACAGACUUUAAACCAGCAAAGAUCAAAAAAGACAAAGAAGGGCAUUGCAUAAUGAUAAGGGGAUCAAUGCAACAAGAAGAGCUAACUAUCCUAAAUAUAUAUGCACCCAGUACAGGAGCACAAGAUUCAUAAAGCAAAUUCUUAGAGACCUACAAAGAGACUUAGACUCCCACACAAUAAUAGUGGGAGACUUUAACACCCCACUGUCAAUAUUAGAUCAAUGAGAUGGAAAAUUAACAAGGAUAUUCAGGACUUGAACUCAGCUCUGGAACAAGCAUACCUAAUAGACAUCUACAGAACUCUCCAUCCCAAGUCAGCAGAAUAUACAUUCUUCUCAGCACCACAUCACAUUAAUUCUAAAAUUGACCACAUAAUUGGAAGUAAAACACUCCUCAGCAAAUGCAAAAGAAUGGAAAUCAUAACAGUCUCUCAGACCACAGUGCAAUCAAAUUAGAACUCAGGAUUAAGAAACUCACUCAAAAUCACACAACUGCAUGGAAACUGAACAACCUGCUCCUGAAUGACUGCUAGGAAAUAAUGAAAUUAAGGCAGAAAUAAAUAAGUUCUUUGAAACCACUGAGAACAAAGUCACAACAUACCAGAAUCUCUGAGACACAGCUAAGGCAGUGUUUAAAGGGAAAUUUAUAGCACUAAAUGCCCACAAGAGAAAGCAGGAAAGAUCUAAAAUCGACACUCUAACAUCACAAUGAAAAGAGCUAGAGGAACAAGAGCAAACAAAUUCAAAAGCUAGCAGAAGACAAGAAAUAACUAAGAUCAGAGCAGAAUUGAAGGAGAUAGAGACACAAAAAAACCUUUAAAAAAUGAAUCCAAGAGCUGUUUUUUUUGAAAAGAUCAACAAAAUAGACUGGUAGCCAAUUAAUAAAGAAGAAAAGAGGGAAGAAUCAAACAGACACAAUAAAAAAUGAUAAAGGGGAUAUCACCACUGAUCCCACAGAAAUACAAACUAGCAUCAGAGAAUAUUAUAAACACCUCUAUGCAAAUAAACUAGAAAGUCUAGAGGAAAUGGAUAAACUCCUGGACACAUACACCCUCCCAAGACUAAACCAGGAAGAAGUUGAAUCCCUGAAUAGACCAAUAACACGUUUUUAUUUUAUUAUUUAAUAGCCUACCAACCAAAAAAAAGCCCAGGAUCAGACAGAUUCACAGCUGAUUUCUACCACAGGCACAAAGAGGAGCUGGCACCAUUUCUUCUGAAACUAUUUCAAACAAUAGAAAAUGAGGGACUCCUCCCUAACUCAUUUUAUAAGGCCAGCAUCAUCCUGAUACCAAAACCUGGCAGAGACACAACAAAAAAAAAUUUCAGGCCAAUAUCCCUGAUGAGUAUCAAUGUGAAAAUCCUCAAUAAAAUACUGGCAAACUGAAUCCAGCAGCACAUCAAAAAACUUAUCCACUACUAUCAAGUUGGCUUCAUCUUUGGGAUGCAAGCAUGGUUCAACAUAUGCAAAUCAAUAAAUGUAAUCCAUCACAUAAAAGAACCAAUGACAAAAACCACAUGAUUAUCUCAAUAGAUGCAGAAAAGGCCUUCGAUAAAAUUCAACACCCCUUCAUGCUAAAAACUCAAUAAACUAGGUAUUGAUGGGGAAUGUAUCUCAAAAUAAUGAAAGCUAUUUAUGACAAACCCACAGCCAAUAUCAUACUGAAUGGGCAAAAGCUGGAAGCAUUCCCUUUGAAAACUGGCACAAGACAAGGAUGCCCUCUCUCACCACUCCUAUUCAACAUAGUAUUGGAAGUUCUGGCCAGGGCAAUCAAGGAAGAGAAAGAAAUAAAGUGUAUUCAAAUAGAAAGAGAGGACGUCAAGUUUUCUGUUUGCAGAUGACAUGAUUAUAUAUUUAGAAAACCCCAUUGUCUCAGCCCAAAAUCUCCUUAAGCUGAUAAGCAACUUCAGCAAAGUCUCAGGAUACAAAAUCAAUGUGCAAAAAUCAAAAGCAUUCCUAUACACCAAUGACAGACAAACAGAGAGCCAAAUCAUGAGUGAACUCCCAUUCACAACUGCUACAAAGAGAAUAAAAUACCUAGGAAUACAACUUACAAGGGCUGUGAAGGACUUCUUCAAGGAGAACUACAAACCACUGCUCAAAGAAAUAAGAGAGGACACAAAUGGAAGAACAUUCCAUGCUCAUGGAUAGACAGAAUCAAUAUUGUGAAAAUGGCCAUACUGCCCAAAGUAAUUUAUAGAUUCAACGCUCUCCUCAUCAAGCAACCAUUGACUUUCUUCACAGAAUUAGAAAAAACGUCUUUAAAUUUCAUAUGGAACCAAAAAACAGCCCGUAUAGCCAAGACAAUCCUAAGCAAAAAGAACAAAGCUGGAGGCAUCAUGCUACCUGACUUCAAACUAUACCACAAGGCUACAGUAACCAAAACAGCAUGGUACUGGUACUAAAACAGAUACAUAGACCAAUGGAACAGAACAGAGGCCUCAGAAAUAAUGCCACACAUCUACAACCAUCUGAUCUUUGACAACCCUGACAAAAGCAAUGGGGAAAGGAUACCCUAUUUAAUAAAUGGUGUCAGGAAAACUGGCCAGCCAUAUGCAGAAAACUGAAACUGGACCCUUUCCUUACACCUUAUACAAAAAUUAACUCAAGAUGGAUUAAAGACUUAAACCUAAGACCUAAAACCAUAAAAACCCUAGAAGAAAACCUAGGCAAUACCAUUCAGGACACAUGCAUGGGCGAAGACUUCAUGUCUAAAACACCAAAAGCAAUGGCAACAAAAGCCAGAAUAGACAAAUGGGAUCUAAUUAAACUAAAGAGCUUCUGCACAGCAAAAGAAACUGGCAUCAAAGUGAACAGGCAGCCUACAGAAUGGGAGAAAGUUUUUGCAAUCUGUCCAUCUGACAAAGGGCUAAUAUCCAGAAUGUACAAAGAACUUAGGAGGACAGAAAACCAAACACCGCACGUUCUCACUCAUAGGUGGGAAUUGAACAAUGAGAACACUUGGACACAGGGCGGGGAACAUCACACACGGGGACCUGUCAUGGGGUAGGGGGCAGGGGGAGGGAUAGCAUUAGGAGAAAUACCUAAUGUAAAUGACGAGUUAAUGGGUGCAGCAAACAAACAUGGCACAUGUAUACCUAAGUAACAAACCUGCACGUUGUGCACAUGUACCCUAGAACUUAAAGUAUAAUAAUAAAAAAAAAUUAAACUCAUUCAGCACCUUACAACUUUCAUGCUUUGCACACUCACUGUGUCAUUCAACAAAUCCUGUCAAACUUACUAGGUGCUAUUGAACCUCCGCUCAUGUACACUUACUGUGUAAUCCAGCAGUCACUUUUUGCAUAUUUGUUCUCUCAUCUAACUUUAACUUCUGUGACACCAAAUUUUGUGUACUUGACAAUCACUCUUUGUACACUCAUUCUCCACCAUCUAGAUGACAUUCCUUUCACAUUUACUUGAACUUGGCCUUGAUUUUUAUAUGACAUUGGUGUUGAUCUUCCCUUUGAUGCUGACUUUAAAUUUUACCUUGACCUUGACUUGAUCUCAACUCAAACAAAAUCCUGUUUCCCACCUUAUGUCUAGGCCAUGUCUAGCACAAAUUUGGAACUUGAUCUUUAACUUGACACUAAUCUUGACCUUGAGCUUUGCUGUAGUUCUAACACUCAUC